GGAAGAGCCGUAGCUCAGUGACAGAGCAUGUGCUUUGCAUGCAGGAGGUCCUGGGUUCAAUCCCCGGCAUUUCCA
Non-coding RNA from Podarcis lilfordi (Lilford's wall lizard), 75 nucleotides. Lineage: Eukaryota; Metazoa; Chordata; Lepidosauria; Squamata; Lacertidae. The record is from the annotation of a GenBank genome assembly.